UUGCGGUUAACGCUCGUAGUUGGAUAUCUGCUAAGGGGUUCCGGUCCUUCCAAGUGGAGAAUACGCGGAACUCUUCUUGGCAUUUGUUCAGGGAAGAUGUUUGCACUUCAUUGUGUGUCAUUUGAUCUGAAUUUUUACUUUGAGGAAAUGAGAGUGUUUCAAGCAGGCUUUCGCCGUGAAUAUGAUAGCAUGGAAUAAUAGCAAGGACCGUGUGUCAGAGCUGUUGGUUUUUGGCACGUGGUAAGUUUUAAUAAGGAUAGUUGGGGGUAUUCGUAUUUAACUGUCAGAGGUGAAAUUCUUGGAUUUUUUAAAGACGAACUAUUGCGAAGGCAUUUACCCAGGAUGUUUUUAUUGAUCAAGAACGAAAGUUAGGGGAUCGAAGACGAUCAGAUACCGUCCUAGUCUUAACCUUAAACUAUGCCGACUGGGGAUUGGACGUUGUCAACUUCUGACACGUUCAGCACCCUGAGAGAAAUCUAAGUCUUUGGGUUCCGGGGGGAGUAUGGUCGCAAGGCUGAAACUUAAAGGAAUUGACGGAAGGGCACCACCAGGAGUGGAGCCUGCGGCUUAAUUUGACUCAACACGGGGAAACUCACCAGGUCCAGACAUAGAUAGGAUUGACAGACUGAUAGCUCUUUCUUAAUUCUAUGGGUGGUGGUGCCAUGCCGUUCUUUAAUUGGUGGGGAUGAUUUUGUCUCUGUUAAAUCCGUUAACGAACGAGACCUUAACCUGCUAAAUAGUUACGGGAAACUUCGGUUCUCAGGCAACUUCUUAGAGGGACUUCAUGUGUUUAACAUGAGGAAGUUUGAGGCAAUAACAGGUCUGUGAUGCCCUUAGAUGUCCUGUGCUGCACGCGCGCUACACUGAUGUGUCCAGUAAGUA
This 882-nucleotide ribosomal RNA is filed under the name uncultured Syndiniales. RNAcentral's name for it is "SSU rRNA". It matches the Rfam family "Eukaryotic small subunit ribosomal RNA", at positions 613 to 1521 of the family's 1831-position model. Lineage: Eukaryota; Dinophyceae; Syndiniales. The record is from RNAcentral.